Molecule: long non-coding RNA, 262 nt
Organism: Camellia sinensis
Lineage: Eukaryota; Viridiplantae; Streptophyta; Magnoliopsida; Ericales; Theaceae
Source: RefSeq, a predicted model, not a curated record
AAAUAGCAGUCAGGGCCUCCAACCUUUGAAGCAAAACAAUUCAAUUACCUCUGAAAUCACUUUCCAUUGUUCUCUAUUUCUCACCCCAAAAAAAAAAUGUCUGGCUGUGGAGGAAACUGUAACUGCGGCUCUGACUGCAAGUGCGACAGUAGCUCCAAAUGUGGGAUGUACCCUGACAUAGAGAACACCACCACUACAACCAUCCUCGCUGGCGUUGCACCACCAGUGAACAUGUACUCUGAGGGAUCGGAGAAGAGCUUUG